AGAGUUUGAUCCUGGCUCAGGAUGAACGCUAGCGNNAGAAUACAUGCAAGUCGAACGAGUCGCAAGAUGUGGCGCACGGGUNNNUAACACGUAGGUAACCUACCUUUUACCGGGGAAUAACGAUGGGAAACCAUCGCUAAUACCGCAUGAGAUAGCAGAGGGGCAUCCCUUAGUUAUUAAAGAUUUAUUGGUAAAAGAUGGGCCUGCGGCUGAUUAGGAGGGGGUGUAACGGACCACCAAGCCGAUGAUCAGUAGGGGUUCUGAGAGGAAGAUCCCCCACACUGGCACUGAGAUACGGGCCAGACUCCUACGGGAGGCAGCAGUAGGGAAUAUUGGGCAAUGGAGGCAACUCUGACCCAGCCAUGCCGCGUGCAGGAAGAAGGCGCUCAGCGUUGUAAACUGCUUUUGUCCGGGAAGAAUGAUCGCUACGCGUAGCGAGAGUGACGGUACCGGGUGAAUAAGCACCGGCUAACUCCGUGCCAGCAGCCGCGGUAAUACGGAGGGUGCAAGCGUUGUCCGGAUUUAUUGGGUUUAAAGGGUGCGUAGGUGGCUUUUUAAGUCCGGGGUGAAAGGCGGUGGCUCAACCAUCAGCAGUGCCCUGGAUACUGGGAAGCUCGAGUAAGUUUGAGGCCGGUGGAACGGGUGGUGUAGCGGUGAAAUGCAUAGAUACCAUCCAGAACACCGAUUGCGGAGGCAGCCGGCUAAGACUUCACUGACACUGAGGCACGAAAGCGUGGGGAGCAAACAGGAUUAGAUACCCUAGUAGUCC
Molecule: ribosomal RNA, 769 nt
Filed under: uncultured bacterium
Lineage: Bacteria
Description: bacterial SSU rRNA
Rfam family: Bacterial small subunit ribosomal RNA
Source: RNAcentral